AAGCGCUUGCAAUCAGACUUGCCUGUGGUUGAUCAACUAGCGUUCUCGCUGGUGCACUCUGCCAUGGUCAGGCCAGCAUCAGUUUGGGCGACUGGAUAAAGAUCGUGGGAAUGUGGCUUCCUUCGGGGAGUGUUAUAGCCCUCGGUGCAAUGCAGUCAGCCUGGACUGAGGACCGCGCUUCGGCUAGGAUGCUGGCGUAAUGGUUGUAAGCGA
RNAcentral lists this ribosomal RNA (213 nucleotides) under Candelariales sp. Its description in RNAcentral is "partial large subunit ribosomal RNA". Lineage: Eukaryota; Fungi; Ascomycota; Candelariomycetes; Candelariales. The record is from RNAcentral.